GGGGAAUUUUGGACAAUGGGCGCAAGCCUGAUCCAGCAAUGCCGCGUGCAGGACGAAGGCCUUCGGGUUGUAAACUGCUUUUGUACGGAGCGAAACGGCUUUCUCUAAUACAGGGGGCUAAUGACGGUACCGUAAGAAUAAGCACCGGCUAACUACGUGCCAGCAGCCGCGGUAAUACGUAGGGUGCGAGCGUUAAUCGGAAUUACUGGGCGUAAAGCGUGCGCAGGCGGUUUUGUAAGACAGAUGUGAAAUCCCCGGGCUCAACCUGGGACCUGCAUUUGUGACUGCAAAGCUGGAGUGCGGCAGAGGGGGAUGGAAUUCCGCGUGUAGCAGUGAAAUGCGUAGAUAUGCGGAGGAACACCGAUGGCGAAGGCAAUCCCCUGGGCCUGCACUGACGCUCAUGCACGAAAGCGUGGGGAGCAAAC
This 425-nucleotide ribosomal RNA is filed under the name uncultured bacterium. RNAcentral describes it as "bacterial SSU rRNA". It matches the Rfam family "Bacterial small subunit ribosomal RNA", at positions 356 to 773 of the family's 1533-position model. The record is from RNAcentral.